AUGCUCUGGUUUCUUUUCAUCCUGCGACUUAAUCUUUCGCCUUUUACUAAAGAUUACCGUGGAGAGGAACAUUACAAUGAGCCUAUGAAUAAUUUUUGGAAUCUUCACCUGUUGGUGGGGU
This 121-nucleotide small nuclear RNA is filed under the name Stegodyphus mimosarum. RNAcentral describes it as "U5 spliceosomal RNA". It matches the Rfam family "U5 spliceosomal RNA". From Rfam's summary of the family: U5 RNA is a component of both types of known spliceosome. Lineage: Eukaryota; Metazoa; Arthropoda; Arachnida; Araneae; Eresidae. The record is from Rfam by way of RNAcentral.